UGAACAGAUUAUUGUAUUCGACUGUAUUCACGGCGUGAAACAUGUGAUUGCAUUGUUUUUAAACGAAAAGUGAAUCAAUUAACAUAAUAGACUGCU
Molecule: microRNA precursor, 96 nt
Filed under: Nicotiana sylvestris (wood tobacco)
Lineage: Eukaryota; Viridiplantae; Streptophyta; Magnoliopsida; Solanales; Solanaceae
Description: MIR6152 microRNA precursor family
Rfam family: MIR6152 microRNA precursor family
Source: Rfam by way of RNAcentral